AACGUAGGAGGCGAGCGUUAUCCGGAUUUACUGGGCGUAAAGCGCACGCAGGCGGUUCCGUUAGUCGGACGUGAAAGCUCCUGGCUUAACUGGGAGAGGCCGUUCGAUACUGCGGGACUUGAGGUUGGAAGAGGGGUGUGGAAUUCCCGGUGUAGUGGUGGAAUGCGUAGAUAUCGGGAGGAACACCUGUGGCGAAAGCGGCACCCUGGUCCACACCUGACGUUGAGGUGCGAAAGCGUGGGUAGCAAACAGGAUUAGAUACCCUAGUAGUCC
RNAcentral lists this ribosomal RNA (273 nucleotides) under uncultured prokaryote. RNAcentral's name for it is "partial 16S ribosomal RNA". It matches the Rfam family "Bacterial small subunit ribosomal RNA", at positions 524 to 796 of the family's 1533-position model. The record is from RNAcentral.